RNAcentral lists this ribosomal RNA (235 nucleotides) under uncultured bacterium. RNAcentral describes it as "partial 16S ribosomal RNA". It matches the Rfam family "Bacterial small subunit ribosomal RNA", at positions 96 to 334 of the family's 1533-position model. The record is from RNAcentral.
UGGCGGACGGGUGAGUAAUGUCUGGGAAACUGCCUGAUGGAGGGGGAUAACUACUGGAAACGGUAGCUAAUACCGCAUAACGCCGCAAGACCAAAGAGGGGGGACCUUGGGCCUCUUGCCAUCGGAUGUGCCCAGAUGGGAUUAGCUAGUAGGUGGGGUAACGGCUCACCUAGGCGACGAUCCCUAGCUGGUCUGAGAGGAUGACCAGCCACACUGGAACUGAGACACGGUCCAG